This 119-nucleotide ribosomal RNA is filed under the name Pteropus alecto (black flying fox). Lineage: Eukaryota; Metazoa; Chordata; Mammalia; Chiroptera; Pteropodidae. The record is from RNAcentral.
GUCUACGGCCAUGUUAUCCUGAACAUGCUUGACCUCGUCUGAUCUUGGAAGCUAAGCAGGGUAGGGCCUGGUUAGUACUUGGAUGGGAGACCACCUAGGAAGAUCAGGUGCUGUAGGCG